UUGGACCUAGCGAAGGACUGGAUCCAUCGGUGCGAUUUAUGCGGCCAUAUCUAUCUGCAAGGGAGAACGGUGAGAUGGUCAUCGAAGAAGCAUUAGAGGAACAAAAGUCCUCCUGAACCUUUGAUUCUGUGGAGGGCAGGUAAAAGUAAAAUUUUGUUCCAAAAUUAUUUGAUAACAAGUUAAGUUCGAAUGUGAAAUUUGAGAUUACAACAGUACAAAAGAUAACUCUGAAAUCCUGAGGACAUUUCCCUUCAGAAAUGUCAUCAAUUAAGAAUGCUAAAAAGAUCAUCACAAAUACAGAUACAUAAGUGUAUGACACUUGGUCUAGCCUACCUGAAGGCCUUAUCUCUGCUGUAAAGAGAUGAUUGUAGGGGCACUUAUACAAAGACAAUGUCUUCUCCUCAAAGUGCACGGCCAACGCGGAAUCCGCUGCCUUCAGUCUGUCCUAAUUUUGCCAUGCACCCCAUGUCUGAUUAUCCACAAGAG
Molecule: long non-coding RNA, 486 nt
Filed under: Triticum aestivum (bread wheat)
Lineage: Eukaryota; Viridiplantae; Streptophyta; Magnoliopsida; Poales; Poaceae
Description: long non-coding RNA (TAES_LNC026169)
Source: RNAcentral